This 497-nucleotide ribosomal RNA is filed under the name uncultured bacterium. Its description in RNAcentral is "partial 16S ribosomal RNA". It matches the Rfam family "Bacterial small subunit ribosomal RNA", at positions 28 to 507 of the family's 1533-position model. The record is from RNAcentral.
GAUGAACGCUGGCGGCGUGCCUAAUACAUGCAAGUCGAGCGAACAGACGAGGAGCUUGCUCCUCUGACGUUAGCGGCGGACGGGUGAGUAACACGUGGAUAACCUACCUAUAAGACUGGGAUAACUUCGGGAAACCGGAGCUAAUACCGGAUAAUAUAUUGAACCGCAUGGUUCAAUAGUGAAAGACGGUUUUGCUGUCACUUAUAGAUGGAUCCGCGCCGCAUUAGCUAGUUGGUAAGGUAACGGCUUACCAAGGCGACGAUGCGUAGCCGACCUGAGAGGAUGAUCAGCCACACUGGAACUGAGACACGGUCCAGACUCCUACGGGAGGCAGCAGUAGGGAAUCUUCCGCAAUGGGCGAAAGCCUGACGGAGCAACGCCGCGUGAGUGAUGAAGGUCUUCGGAUCGUAAAACUCUGUUAUUAGGGAAGAACAAAUGUUUAAGAAUCUAUGCACGUCUUGACGGUACCUAAUCAGAAAGCCACGGCUAACUACGUG